Molecule: ribosomal RNA, 253 nt
Filed under: uncultured bacterium
Lineage: Bacteria
Description: partial 16S ribosomal RNA
Rfam family: Bacterial small subunit ribosomal RNA
Source: RNAcentral
UACGAAGGGUGCAAGCGUUACUCGGAAUUACUGGGCGUAAAGCGUGCGUAGGUGGUCUGUUAAGUCUGAUGUGAAAGCCCUGGGCUCAACCUGGGAAUUGCAUUGGAUACUGGCAGGCUAGAGUGCGGUAGAGGGUAGUGGAAUUCCCGGUGUAGCGGUGAAAUGCGUAGAGAUCGGGAGGAACACCAGUGGCGAAGGCGGCUACCUGGACCAGCACUGACACUGAGGCACGAAAGCGUGGGGAGCAAACAGG